CCCAACUAUCCCUAUUAAUCAUUACGUCGAUCCUAGAAACCAACAAAAUAGGUUCGAUCGUCCUAUUUCGUUAUUCCAUGCUAAUGUAUUCAAGCGCGAGCCUGCUUUAAGCACUCUAAUUUUUUCAAAGUAACAGUCCUGUUUCCCCGCAACAACAAAUUAAUGCCAUCACGGUUCUACAAGAGGGAGGGACCAGUGAGGCCAGUGCAUACCAGUGGCACGACCAACCUACUGGCCCCGAAAUUCAACUACGAGCUUUUUAACUGCAACAACUUUAAUAUACGCUAUUGGAGCUGGAAUUACCGCGGCUGCUGGCACCAGACUUGCCCUCCAA
Molecule: unclassified non-coding RNA, 334 nt
Filed under: uncultured Glomeraceae
Lineage: Eukaryota; Fungi; Glomeromycota; Glomeromycetes; Glomerales; Glomeraceae
Description: sequence contains 18S rRNA gene
Source: RNAcentral